Molecule: ribosomal RNA, 497 nt
Filed under: uncultured bacterium
Lineage: Bacteria
Description: partial 16S ribosomal RNA
Rfam family: Bacterial small subunit ribosomal RNA
Source: RNAcentral
GAUGAACGCUGGCGGCGUGCCUAAUACAUGCAAGUCGAGCGAACGGACGAGAAGCUUGCUUCUCUGAUGUUAGCGGCGGACGGGUGAGUAACACGUGGAUAACCUACCUAUAAGACUGGGAUAACUUCGGGAAACCGGAGCUAAUACCGGAUGAUAUUUUGAACCGCAUGGUUCAAAAGUGAAAGACGGUCUUGCUGUCACUUAUAGAUGGAUCCGCGCUGCAUGAGCUAGUUGGUAAGGUAACGGCUUACCAAGGCAACGAUGCAUAGCCGACCUGAGAGGGUGAUCGGCCACACUGGAACUGAGACACGGUCCAGACUCCUACGGGAGGCAGCAGUAGGGAAUCUUCCGCAAUGGGCGAAAGCCUGACGGAGCAACGCCGCGUGAGUGAUGAAGGUCUUCGGAUCGUAAAACUCUGUUAUUAGGGAAGAACAUCUGUGUAAGUAACUGUGCACAGCUUGACGGUACCUAAUCAGAAAGCCACGGCUAACUACGUG